GCUGAGAAUGCCAAGAACCAUGUGGGUCCUCCUCCCUGUCCUGCUGAGCACCCUGCUUUGUGUACAGCCAGCUCACAGUCUCCAUUGCUAUAACUGUACAGGGGCAAUGAAAUCCAGUCAAUGCAACUCUAUUGCAUGCUCCGUGUCAGACACUCGCUGUGGGAGUUUUGAAAUUGCAGAUAAAAAUGGACCAGGGAACAAAAUAAUAUACUUCAAAGGUUGUACUAAUACUUCCUGUGGAGAGUUUUUCAUGGAAUUAUGGGGCAAGGCCAAUAAAGAGAUCCCUACAUCUCUUUUACAAGUGGAUUAUAGCUGCUGUUCGAAGGAUCUGUGUAAUGGGGCAGAUGGGGUCAGAGGCAGCCCCUUGGCCCUGAUAGGGACACUCCUGCUUAGCUUUGGACCUGCCUUCUGGGCCAUGCUGUGAGGGCUUCAGUCACUUCCUCGUGGACCCUGCCUGGUGGUUUCUCUUAUUCCUCAGGAACAGAUAUUCAAGUUUCUCUCUGCACCUCCCCUCCCCUGCUUUUAGACCAAUUGCAAACAGAAUUUACCAGAAUUUUGUCAGUUCUGAUGGAUGCAAAUACAUGUGUGAGGACACAUAACAGACACACAUCUACAUAGACAGAUGCACAGAAACAAAAUAGACAUUUACUGUUCCAUGGAGUUAUCAAUGCCUCUGUACUGUUUAUUAGCAGUGAGAGCUACCCAAGAACUAUUAAACACUCAAUCCCUAUUGGAGGUAUCUGUGGAGGAUUCCUCAGAGACCUAUUUCUCUGGUUAUCUUUCUUUUCUUAGUUUCAUUUAUGCCUUUUAUUUUUAUAUUGCAUCCUUUUCUAAACAGAUCCAUCCCAUCCUCCCCCUAGUCAAAAAGUCAUACCUUAUACCAAAGGUUAAAAGAAACAAAAGCAUUUCAGCAAAAUCAUCUGCACAAUGAGUGACCAAGUUUACCAGACUAGGGGAUACUUUGCACUCAGACUCCCUUACCUCUCCAAUGAAAGGAGAGAGGUGAAUUUUCUUAUCUGUUCUCUGGGUCCCAAUUAAGCAUUAUAAUACAAUGUUUGGUUUUAUUUUAAAAAUUAUUUCAAUUUAAUAUUUUUAUUGUCAUUAUGUUUGUGUUUUUCUUGUUCUGCUUGCUUUAUUCCUCAUCUGUUCCUAUGUCUUCCCAGGUAUCUCUUGAUUUUUUUUUAAAUUUGUUGUUUCCUACAGUACCAUUCAUGGGCAGUUAGAUGACUCAGUGGAUCUAGUGCUGGGCCUGGAGUCAGGAAGACUCAUUUUCCUGAGUUCAAAUCUGGCUUCAGACACUCACUAGCUGUGUGACCCUAGGCAAGUCACUUAAUGUUGUUUGCCUCAAUUUCCUCAUCUGUAAAAUGAGCUGGAGAAAGAUUUCAAACUAUUUCAGUUUCUUUGCCAAGAAAACCCCAUGCAGG
Molecule: long non-coding RNA, 1424 nt
Filed under: Phascolarctos cinereus (koala)
Lineage: Eukaryota; Metazoa; Chordata; Mammalia; Diprotodontia; Phascolarctidae
Description: lncRNA (ENSPCIG00000032000.1)
Source: RNAcentral